Molecule: non-coding RNA, 81 nt
Organism: Podarcis lilfordi (Lilford's wall lizard)
Lineage: Eukaryota; Metazoa; Chordata; Lepidosauria; Squamata; Lacertidae
Source: the annotation of a GenBank genome assembly
UCAGCUGAUGGCCUAGUUGGCUAAAGCGUCAUGCUGAUAACACCAAGGUUGCAGGUUUGAUCCCUGUAUGGGACAGCUGCA